UUAUUAACGACAGUGUUUGGGAAUCCCAUAAUAGUCUCCUCAUCUAUUCUUUACUUUUUCAGUUCUUCCGUUGUUUUGUUUUCGGAUUCUGAAUAAAGUCCAUUUUCCUCAUUUUUCUUCAAACUGUGCCUCUUGUCAUCUCCGAUGGUGAGUCAACUUUCCCAUUAUGCAGAUUUCUUCUAUAAUCUUCAUCCUUUUCCUUAAUUUAAUUAAAAUGACAAAGAUAAAGUACCGUGUAGUUUGUUAGGACAUCGUAUCCCAAUAGCUUCUUAUAUUCACAUAUUUUCCGUAUUUUAAUGGAACUAUUCUGAGGCUUUAGGCUCCAAACGAACAGAUGAAACUGAUCCAGAUCCAGGUUAUUGACAAAGUGAAUAGAAUGUUUGUUUCUUUAUUAUUUAUUCAUUCUAUUAUCGGUCUGGAUGAUUAUGUUAUCUAGAAAGUCGUACAAUGUCACAUUUAGCAGAAACGACAUCCAGUUUUGCUUAAAAACAGCAGAACAAACAAAACUAAUCACUCAUGCUACAGAUAAAAACAAUUUUAGCCACAUCAGUAGCUGAUCACAGUGUUAGCUAACUGCAGUCUUACUUUUGAGCUAACCCCGCCUUCGCACAUAGGUAGCUGGGAUUGGCUCCAGCACCCCCCCCCCACCCACCCCCAGACCCUAGUUAGGGGAAAGCAGUUCAGAAGACGACUGACAUUUGAGCUAAUGGCAACAUUAGCUAACCACAACAUUAGCUAAUCAAAGCUAUUCUGAUUAAUGCCAGAGUAUGUUUGAAUUACCCACAACAUUAGAUGACCACAGUGUUAGCUAACCAUAAUUUUACUAAAGACCGAAUACCUUUGAGCUAACCACAACAUUAGCUAACUGCAGCAUUAGCUAAUCAAAGGUAUUCUGACUGAAAACAGUCUAUAUUUUAUUAUUUUAUUCAUUUUAUUGUUACUUUUUUUAUCAGUCUUUUCUAUUCUAUUCUUUGAACUAACAUUAAUGUUAGCUAACAGAAUUAGACCAAAUACUUUUAGCUAACGCUUUAGUUAGUAAAUGUUGUGGUUAGCUCAAUCAAACGUAUUCUGACUGAAAACAGAGUAUAUUUUAUUAUUUUAUUCAUCUUAUUAUUAUGUUAUUUUCCUACCACAAUGAUAAUAAAGUCAAUUUUAUCCUAUUCUUUGAACUAACAUUAAUGUUAGCUAACUACAGCAUUAGCUAACCAUGACUAAAAACUACAAAUCUUUGCGCUAACAAUAGCUUUAUCGAAUCACGUUACUAAAGACAGAAUACAUUUGCGCUAAGUACUAUACUUGCUAGCUAUUGUAGCUAGCUAACAGGUUUAUUUAGCAAAACCCUAUUGAUAUUAACAUGCUAAUACUCACUGGUUUGAAUUUGUCAGACAUUAGUGUAUGUCCUUUUUUUUAGAUUGCUUAAAAUA
This is a long non-coding RNA of Sphaeramia orbicularis (orbiculate cardinalfish), 1424 nucleotides long. RefSeq lists it as uncharacterized. The transcript is spliced from 2 exons. The record is from RefSeq and is a predicted model, not a curated record. Lineage: Eukaryota; Metazoa; Chordata; Actinopteri; Kurtiformes; Apogonidae.